This 447-nucleotide ribosomal RNA is filed under the name uncultured bacterium. RNAcentral describes it as "bacterial SSU rRNA". It matches the Rfam family "Bacterial small subunit ribosomal RNA", at positions 355 to 825 of the family's 1533-position model. The record is from RNAcentral.
UCGGGAAUUUUGGGCAAUGGGCGAAAGCCUGACCCAGCAACGCCGCGUGAAGGAUGAAGUAUUUCGGUAUGUAAACUUCGAAAGAAUAGGAAGAAUAAAUGACGGUACUAUUUAUAAGGUCCGGCUAACUACGUGCCAGCAGCCGCGGUAAUACGUAGGGACCAAGCGUUGUUCGGAUCUACUGGGCGUAAAGGGCGCGUAGGCGGCAAUUCAAGUCAUCUGUGAAAUCUCCGGGCUUAACUCGGAACGGUCAGAUGAUACUGCUUUGCUAGAGUGCAGAAGGGGCAAUCGGAAUUCUUGGUGUAGCGGUGAAAUGCGUAGAUAUCAAGAGGAACACCUGAGGUGAAGACGGGUUGCUGGGCUGACACUGACGCUGAGGCGCGAAAGCCAGGGGAGCAAACGGGAUUAGAUACCCCGGUAGUCCCUGAGCGGGCUGGCAAGGCGCAU